Zea mays is the source of this 516-nucleotide long non-coding RNA. RefSeq lists it as uncharacterized. The transcript has 3 exons. The record is from RefSeq and is a predicted model, not a curated record. NCBI's taxonomy places the organism in Eukaryota, Viridiplantae, Streptophyta, Magnoliopsida, Poales, Poaceae.
CGAUAUGGAAAAGCUUGAGGCUAAUAUAGCUGAAACCCUGAGCUUUCUUGAGACCGUUUUCGUGCCUUCAUUUUUUGAUAUCAUGGUACACUUGAUGGUACAUCUUCCUACCCAAGCAACGAUAGCUGGUCCCGUCCAUUUUCGUAGCAUGUGGCCCAUAGAGAGGUAUCUAAUGAGAUUGAAGGGUUCUGUUCAUACAAAGAGUCACUGUGAGGGAUCAAUUAUGGAAUGGUCUAUGUUUACUGAGUGUCUUACAUUUUGUGCUCGCUAUUUACAUGGUGAGACUCAAUUGAACCAUCAAGUUAGAUAUGAGUAUGACGAAGAUUGUACUACAACUCCUUUCUUCCAUACCAUUGGCCAAGGAUUGGCUGGGAAGUGUUUAGUUAAUUUAGACCAUAAAACAUGGCUACAAGCUCAUAGAUAUGUUUUGUUCAACUACGACAAUAUAACCCCUUACUUGGACAAGCAUGCUCACUAUUUGUCCUCAAUUGGUCAUCGAAAUAAAAGAGAUAUCAA